Molecule: ribosomal RNA, 745 nt
Filed under: Mermithidae sp. B9
Lineage: Eukaryota; Metazoa; Nematoda; Enoplea; Mermithida; Mermithidae
Description: partial large subunit ribosomal RNA
Rfam family: Eukaryotic large subunit ribosomal RNA
Source: RNAcentral
CCGUUUAGAAGUAAACGGGUAAACCCGCGAGAUAGUCGCGAAAAUCAGCUAGUUGGCAAUGCGCUGUCGGUGGUGUUAUAGGCGGUUUUNGUCGUCGUACACCAACGCUUGUGUUUUGCAGUGUCAAUUGGCGCACUUUUCGUGGCGUACUGUCGCAACCAGAGUGGGCUGCCUCUGACUUGCCUGACUAGAAGGCGAUUGUGGUUCUUUCGUAGAUCUGCAUGUCGUGACUUGGUUGGGUGAAGUUUUUGGAUUUGCCUGCUCUGUUGGUUGUUUGCCGACGGUUUGUUGUGUUCUAGCGCUCGUGUAGUCUUGCUAGUCGGUUGGUCCGACUUGUUGGUUGUGUGCUUUCGGGCACUGGCCGACGACCGCCGAUCGUUCAUGUGCUUGACUAUCGACGAACAACCGUUGGCUGUUUGCGGCAUUUGGAGCGGUAACUUACCCGACCCGUCUUGAAACACGGACCAAGGAGUCUAACAUGCGCGCAAGUCUAAGGGUGUUGUUGAAACCCAAGGGCGUAAUGAAAGUGAAGUCGGCCUUGUGUCGAUUAGAUACGAUCUGUGUUUCGUUUGAAAUGCAGCGGAGUAUCGUCCCAUUUGAACGGUUCGGCCGUUGAGUGGAGAUUGAGCGCGUACGUUAGGACCCGAAAGAUGGUGAACUAUGCUUGAGCAGAACGAAGCCAGAGGAAACUCUGGUGGAGGUUCGUAGCGGUUCUGACGUGCAAAUCGAUCGUCAGACUUGAGUA